AAAGAAAUAGCAUAAAAAAGCUUCUAACUUUUUACAAAGCAUUAAUUUGU
This 50-nucleotide transfer RNA is filed under the name Lycus loripes. RNAcentral's name for it is "partial tRNA-Ser". The record is from RNAcentral. Lineage: Eukaryota; Metazoa; Arthropoda; Insecta; Coleoptera; Lycidae.